GGUAAACACGAGCACCAGACCUGACUGGGUGGUUGAGGGAGCUCCUGGUGAAAUGUGCUGAGGCUUCUGCUGAGGUUUCUACCUCAGCUCCACGGCCUGGCCAGUUCAAUGGAUUGAAGAAAAUGUUCACGGAAGGAAGAUGAUUAAUUGAUCCAGAGGGCCUGUAGCAACUCUGUUUAACAUGCUAGAUGAGCCAGUCUUAUUCAGUGAUGACUAAGGAUCUAGAGAAAACUGGUGUCAGAAUACAAAAGAUUAAAUGGAAGGCUCUGGAGCCCUGAGGAAUAGCAGUUACUAGACUGAAGGAACCUGAGUUUCUAGAUUGCGAUGUUGAGCAGAGUCCCUGCUAACCCAGGAAAACUCUGAUGUGAGAAAGAAGAAAACCCGGAUUGCACUAACUCACCGAGAUUUCGAAGUUUAGUUGUUCGGCGAUGAACUUGUCCUGAACAACAUAGAGGAACAGUGGGAAAUACAUGGAGUGUGCUUAUAAGAAGCUAUGGUAGGCAGGAUUUCAAGAUGUCCUUGUGAUCUCUGCCUCCUUGUGUUUCUCCCAUGACUAUGUCAUGUUCCACAGCAAAAGGGAUUUUGCAAUGUAUUAAGGGUACUGAACGGUUGACCUUAAGAUCGUGGGAUUAUCUGGGUGGGCCUAAUUUCAUCACAUGAGUCCUGUAAAAGAAGUGAAUUUUCUCUAUUUGGUAGCAGAAGAGGCAGUCAGAGACAUCUGAAGUGUGAGAGGGAUUCAGUGCUGAAAUGGAGAAGGUCACAUGGUAAGAACCUGAGAGUGGCUUCUGGUAGCUGAGAGUGAUCCUUGGCAAGAUAAUGGAACCUUAGUCCUAGAGCCUCAAGGAAAUUAAUUCUGCUGACAAUCUGAGGGAACUUUGAAGCAGAUCUUUUCCUAGUUGAGCCUCCAAGUAAGGAUUUAGCUAGCUAGCUGGUACUUUAAUUUGAGCCUUAUGAGUCUCUGAGCAGAGGACCCAGGGAAAUAAAGUCAGGCUCCUAAUGCAUGGUGAUGAUGACGUGAUAAGUGUGUUUUGUUAAGCUACUAAGUUUGUGGUAAUUUUUAAUGUAGCAAUAAAAAACUAAUGCAGAGAGUGAAAA
RNAcentral lists this long non-coding RNA (1095 nucleotides) under Homo sapiens (human). RNAcentral's name for it is "novel transcript". The record is from RNAcentral. Lineage: Eukaryota; Metazoa; Chordata; Mammalia; Primates; Hominidae.